RNA transcript from Micropterus dolomieu (smallmouth bass), 2141 nucleotides. It is a transcript of the gene named nuclear factor 7, brain-like, with no coding region annotated. NCBI's taxonomy places the organism in Eukaryota, Metazoa, Chordata, Actinopteri, Centrarchiformes, Centrarchidae. The transcript has 4 exons. The record is from RefSeq and is a predicted model, not a curated record.
AUCUCUGCUGGAAAACACACGUUUGGAGUAUUUGAAACAAUCAAGGGAAGAGACGUUCACUCGGUGAGUCUGUGGAAAAAUAACUUCAGUAUCAAAUGGCUGAGAAAAUAACUCUUGUUGAAAGUUACCUGAACUGCCACGUGUGUUCAGAGACUUUCAGAGAUCCUGUGUCUCUGAGCUGCAACCACAGCUUCUGUUCAAGCUGCCUGCAGAAAUUCUGGGAACAAGCUGGAAACAAAAACUGUCCCAUUUGUAAAAGAAAAUCAUCAAAAAAUUAUCCAGGAGUCAACUUUCCACUGAAGGAACUGGCUGACUCCUUUGCUGAGAGACAGAAAACUGGAUCAUCUGAGACAGAAAAAGGAGAGAAGAAGGUGGAGGAGGUGUGCAGUAAACAUAAAGAAGAGCCAAGAUUGUUCUGUGAGGACGAGCAGAGAGCUGUGUGUCCUGUCUGUGAGUUUUCUCUCCACCAGAGUCACAAGGUGGUUCCUGUAGAACAAGCAGUCCGGGACCUGAAGGAGCAGCUGAAAUCUGACUUAGAGUCUCUGCAGGACAAGAGGGACAAAUACAAACAAGUGGAGGAAACAUACAAUGAAGUGAUUCAACAGUCCGAGAAGCAGCUGUUGUCCACAGAGAGGCAGAUCAGAGCAGAGUUCAACAAGCUCCACCAGUUCCUGAAAGAGGAAGAGGAGUCCAGACUGGCAGCUCUGAGGGAGGAAGAGGAGCAGAAGAGGAAGACUGUGAGCAGAGAGAUCAAGAAGAUUCAGGAGCAGAUCUCCUCUCUGUCAGACAGGAUCUCUGCUGUUGAAGAAGAGCUGCAGAAACCCAGCGUGCCAUUCCUCAGCAGUUAUAAAGCCACUCAGACCAGAGCCAGAGUCCAGCGCUCACUGUCAGAUCCACAGCUGCUCUCAGGAGCGCUGAUAGAUGUGGCCAAACACCUGGGCAACCUGUCCUUCAGAGUCUGGGAGAAGAUGAAGGACAAGGUCCACUUCAGUCCUGUCAUUCUGGACCCAAACACUGCAGCACGCAGUCUCUAUCUGUCUGAUGAUCUGACCAGUGUGAGACGUGGAGACACAAAGCAGCAGCUUCCUGACAAUCCAGAGAGAAACACUAAGUAUGCAGAAGUUCUGGGCUCUGAGGGCUUCAGCUCAGGGAAACACAGCUGGGAGGUGGAGGUGGGAGACCAUCCUGGCUGGACUGUAGGUUUGGCUAAAGAGUCAGUUGACAGGAAGGGAGAGACAUUUCCCUCACCAAAAUAUGGAUUCUGGUGUUUAAAGCAUCACAGUGGAAAAUACACUGAUGGAGUUGGUAAGACUGUCAGAGUGAAGAAGAGUCUCCAGAGGAUCAGAGUCCAGCUGGACUAUGACAGGGGGGAGGUGUCCUUCUACAACCCUGAAGACAUGACUCACCUCUGCACUCACAGAGACACUUUCACUGAGAAACUCUUCCCAUAUUUAUAUAUUGGUGCAGCUGGUGAUGCUGAAACCUCUGAUAUCAAAAUCUGUCACACUGAGAUUUCUCUGUGACGUUCAGGAAUACACCUGUACAUGGAAACUGUCCUGUACUGACUCUGACAGACAUCCUGACUGCGCCAUCUGCUGGUGAGAAGAUGACAUGGCAACACUUCCUGCUGUUCAUUCAGCCUGUGACAGAGGAGAGAUCAUAGACUGAGAGUGUGAAAGUUAAACUGACAGUAGAUUUGGACAUUGUUGAACAGAGCUGAGACGCCAUCACAGGGUGAGAGAUCUCUGCUGGAAAACACACGUUUGGAGUAUUUGAAACAAUCAAGGGAAGAGACGUUCACUCGACACCUGUACAUGGAAACUGUCCUGUACUGACUCUGACAGACAUCCUGACUGCGCCAUCUGCUGGUGAGAAGAUGACAUGGCAACACUUCCUGCUGUUCAUUCAGCCCGUGACAGAGGAAAGUGAAACUAAAAGCAGAUUUGGACAUUGUUGAACAGAGCUGAGACGCCAUCACAGGGUGAGAGAUCUCUGCUGGAAAACACACGUUUGGAGUAUUUGAAACAAUCAAGGGAAGAGACGUUCACUCGAGACUUUCAGAGAUCCUGUGUCUCUGAGCUGCAACCACAGCUUCUGUUCAAGCUGCCUGCAGAAAUUCUGGGAACAAGCUGGAAACAAAA